UACGCAGGCAGCAAGCGUUGUUCGGAGUUACUGGGCGUAAAGAGUGCGUAGGUGGUCCCCUAAGUUCGGUGUGAAAUCUCCCGGCUCAACUGGGAGGGUGCGCCGGAAACUGGGGGGCUUGAGUGUGGGAGAGGAAAGCGGAAUUCCUGGUGUAGCGGUGAAAUGCGUAGAUAUCAGGAGGAACACCGGUGGCGAAGGCGGCAUCCUGGACCAAUUCUGACGCUGAGGAGCGAAAGCCAGGGGAGCAAACGGG
This 253-nucleotide ribosomal RNA is filed under the name uncultured prokaryote. RNAcentral's name for it is "partial 16S ribosomal RNA". It matches the Rfam family "Bacterial small subunit ribosomal RNA", at positions 524 to 776 of the family's 1533-position model. The record is from RNAcentral.